GGCCCGUGGCGCGGGGAGCGCUGGCCGCGGGACGCCGGCUCCGCGUCUCGGGAGGGUUGCUCUGUGCAGCCUUCCCUCACGGGCUGCUGCACACGUGGAGGCUGCUCGCUGAGAGACCGCGACACCUGGAAGGACGCGGCGGUUUGCUGCGUGCCUUUAGCCAGACGGUGCAACCCUCCACGCAGAAAAACCACAGCUAAAUUAAAGCAGCACCGAUGCUGCUCCAGCUCUGCUUGGCUCACAGACACACAGUGCAGCACCUUCCCCUCUCUCGCGGUGGAACUCUGGCAGGGGCUGGAUGAUGUGCUUGCUAAGGUACCCAACGUGUUGAAUUCCCGCAUGCCUCGUAGUUGAAGUUUGAGACUAACACAGUUUGAAAUGACCUCUGGAGAUCUGUCAGGCUCUGCUCUACAAGUGGGGCCAACCUCCAACUUAUAUUAACUUUCUCAGGGCAAACCUAAGGGAAGGUACCAAAAACCAUCACGGGAAACAGGUAAGGCUGGGCAUGGGGCAAGUCCAGAGCACGGGACUUCUGUAAUACACAUCACCCAGUUUCCAAUACAGCUUAAGCGGGACCGUAGGAAAACUCUCACCCUGGAGCAGCUCAGCGGUUCAACCAGCCAUGCCUGGCCCCCCCAGCACAAACACAUCAUCACCAUCAAAACAAAGCCAUUUGUGAACAAUUUACCAUGCAUUCCGGGAAGAAAAAGCUCUUUGGCAGACCUCCUUGUGUUAUUGCUGAAGUUUCAACGCAUUUUGGGACAUUUGGCGACUUGCAAGGGAAGGACAACACGGACCACUCGCAUCCAACAAAAGAAACACAAGCAAACACGUGCCGAGGGAGGAGGCGCUUGGAGCAGCCCCACCUCUGCUUACCCAAGAGCGUUCCAGGCUCUCCUGCUCCCGCUGCAGCACCACAGCAAUUGCUGCUCAUCGGUCAUUCAAAUCUCGCCGAUUUCUUUCCCCUGCUCUCACAAGCCAAAAACCAAAUGAGAACCUGGUUUCAGACUGCCCUGAAUUAAGCUGAAGCUAUGAAACAAAAUGACCACAGCAUGUAGAUAAGCAAACGGGAUUUCCAAGCCCAUGCAUUUUGUUGCUAGUUAAUAUUAAAAAUGAUAAACAGUAGUCAGGAUUUUUUUUAAAAAAAGCUUUUUAAGAGCAGAGUAACUGCUUUCAACAGUUUUAGGCAAUCAAAAACAAGUAUUGAGAAGGAGGCUAAUUUUUAGAAUGCACCUAUAAUUAUCAUAAGAGAACUUGCAGGGUCCAGAAAUCCAUCAAAGAUUUAUUUCGUUAAUUACAAGAAGGUUGCUAUGCUCUGGGUUUGGUUGUGAAGGAAUACUUUGGUAUGAAGCCAGCGAGCUCUGGUAGCUGACGUGCUGCUGUUGAAUCGGCACCCAGGCCGCGAUGCGUUCCCUCUGCGCGGCGGGGUAACGCGGCUCCGCUUCCAGCGCCCGGCUGUGCACAACACUCACUUCACUCGUCUGAAGCAGCUCCCGUCCCCACGAACACCCAUCUGCGGGGCCCUUCCCACACUUCGGAAGGCUGCGCUGUUUCCUGGUAAGGCUAGAAGUACAAAACCUGAC
Molecule: long non-coding RNA, 1583 nt
Organism: Columba livia (rock pigeon)
Lineage: Eukaryota; Metazoa; Chordata; Aves; Columbiformes; Columbidae
Exons: 2
Source: RefSeq, a predicted model, not a curated record